RNAcentral lists this ribosomal RNA (492 nucleotides) under uncultured bacterium. RNAcentral describes it as "partial 16S ribosomal RNA". It matches the Rfam family "Bacterial small subunit ribosomal RNA", at positions 29 to 507 of the family's 1533-position model. The record is from RNAcentral.
AGUGAACGCUGGCGGUAGGCCUAACACAUGCAAGUCGAACGGCAGCACAGUAAGAGCUUGCUCUUACGGGUGGCGAGUGGCUGACUGAUGCGUAAUACAUCGGAAUCUCCUUUUUCGUGGGGGAUAACGUAGGGAAACUUACGCUAAUACCGCAUACGACCUACGGUUGAAAGCAGGUGAUCUUCAGACCUUGCGCGAUUGAAUGAGCCGAUGUCGGAUUGGCUAGUUGGCGGGGUAAGUGCCCACGAAGGCGACGAUCCGUAGCUGGUCUGGGAUGAUGGUCAGCCACACUGGAACUGAGACACGGUCCAGACUCCUACGGGAGGCAGCAGUGGGGAAUAGUGGACAAUGGGCGCAAGCCAGAUCCAGCCAUACCGCGUGGGUGAAGAAGGACUUCGGGUUGUAAAGCCCUUUUGUUGGGAAAGAAAAGCAGCAGGUUAAUACCCCGCUGUACUGACGGUACCCAAAGAAUAAGCACCGGCUAACUUCGUG